GAAACCGUCUAGAGGCAAACGGAGAGGACCGUAUCGUCCGGUCGCGGGAUUCAGUCCGCAGGCUAGGCGGCGGCGUUCGGUCGCGCAUCUCUCGUGGGAGCGCGUCGGGCGUCCGGCCCGUCUGGCGGCGGCCGUACUUUCCGCGGCCGGAGCGCCACGACCGGUUCGUCGGCGGCGAGAAACUCCCGGGCAAGGUGACCGGCGCCUCGGCGUCGGAGCAUACAGGCCCGGUGAGCGUCGGCCCGUCGGCGGACCGAGGACGACAUUCGCGGUGGCGCGUCGACCGCCGGUCGUGUGUGUGCGUUCGACUCGGGGGGACCGGUUUCGGUGCCCUCGGACCGCGUGUGCAUAUCGGCUGGACGGCGCGGCGCGUCGCCUGGGGUCAGUGGCGGAUCGGCCGGCAACCUGUCCGACCCGUCUUGAAACACGGACCAAGGAGUCUAACAUGUGCGCAAGUCGUUGGGCGCUACGAAACCCGAAGGCGCAAUGAAAGUGAAGGCCCGGCCUCGCGCCGGCCUCGGUGGGAUGCGCGUUCGUCGUUUCGGCGGCGGCGCGUCGCACCACCGGCCCGUCUCGUUCGUCUCGUCGAAGAGGCGGAGCAAGAGCGUACACGUUGGGACCCGAAAGAUGGUGAACUAUGCCUGAGUAGGGCGAAGCCAGAGGAAACUCUGGUGGAGGCUCGCAGCGAUUCUGACGUGCAAAUCGAUCGUCAAACUUGGGUAUAGGGGCGAAAGACUAAUCGAACCAUCUAGUAGCUGGUUCCUGUCGAAGUUUCCCUCAGGAUAGCUGGCGCUCAUCGAGGCAGUUUUUAUCCGGUAAAGCGAAUGACUGGAGGCCUUGGGGA
This 844-nucleotide ribosomal RNA is filed under the name Microscolex phosphoreus. RNAcentral describes it as "eukaryotic LSU rRNA". The stretch from base 329 to 844 matches the Rfam family "Eukaryotic large subunit ribosomal RNA", at positions 1 to 1036 of the family's 3401-position model. Lineage: Eukaryota; Metazoa; Annelida; Clitellata; Crassiclitellata; Megascolecidae. The record is from RNAcentral.